AUAUUGAAGCAAAACAUUUGCGUUUGUUUUUAAAGCAGAAUCAUCCUGAAUUUAUUAUCUGGUCCAGAGAUUGCCUUCUUGUUUGCUUUUUAAAAUUCGGCUAAGGCCUCUUUUCUGGCUUGAGAAACGGCUUGGGUUUUAGGUUAAAGGCAGUUUGGUUUUCGGGGAGGGUGGGGUCAGCCUAGCUCAGGGCGGCCCAGUGGGAUUCUGUUUCCUGCAACAUAUCCACGUCUUGAAAAUAUCUGGUAAAUACCGAAAGCAAAUUUCAACGAGCUGGUAAUUCCUGCGGAAACAGAAUUUCAGACUGUUUACUGAGAAGACACCCAGAAUGGUGCAGGGCACACAAUACAGCAGUAGAGCAUCUUCAAUUUGUUGGAAUGCCAAGAAACUACCCAGAUACACAGUUUCCCUCAUCCCCUCACCCACAUGGAACAAUGCUCCCACCGCAUCUUCCUGGGUGUGCCCUGGGGCCGCGUCUUCCUGAUCUUGCUGUUCUGGGCCUGGCACCGCUCUCCCUAGCUCUCCAAUGGAUGGACUGGGUGAACACUUGCCUCGAAGCUCCCUCAGCCCCCUGCUUCCCUGACAGGGCCUCGCAGACUCUCCUCCUCCCUGCCUGCCUGACACUCGCCCCAGGGAUGUGCCUCCUCUCUUUGUUCUCAUCUCUUACCCUGGAGUUUAAACCCACACAUCCACAGAGACUCUCAAAUCUCUGUCCAUAGCCCUGGUCUUUUUCUGAUUUGCUACGAUUUGGUGGGAUUUCCAGAGACUGAUAUUCCCAGGGCUCGUAAUCAAA
Molecule: long non-coding RNA, 793 nt
Filed under: Equus caballus (horse)
Lineage: Eukaryota; Metazoa; Chordata; Mammalia; Perissodactyla; Equidae
Description: lncRNA (ENSECAG00000028497.3)
Source: RNAcentral